AGACAGAUCAGGGAGAAGAAACCGCUAUAGGGAAAAAACCUCAAUGUUUUUACCUUGAACAUAGGAAAGAGUGAAAGGUACAUCUAACAGAAGUUGGGAAAUGUAAGAAGAAGGAGAAAGGAGGCUAAUUAGAGGGGACCAAUCUUUCUCUCUCCAUGGUGACAAGCUUGGAGAUCCUCCUGAACAUUGGUGGCACAAGACACAGGAGUUUGAGUUAUUUAAUGUGACAAAGGGAACCACCACCACCUCCCAUAGCAACAACAGAACGUAAACAGGAGGAGGGAGGUGGGGGGAAGGGUAAGAACACGACAUCCUCAUCCGCAUCUGUCACCAUGGGGAGUCCGUCCGUCAUGUCCGUGGAUCAGCAACCCAUGACUCCAAGCAAUCACUCUGCACGGCCCCACUGUAAGGAUGUCAACCUUCAGCGACGGCUGACCCCUCUCAGACCUCCAAGGGGCCACCAUCCCAGCUGCCCUCAUCAGCUGCUCCAAGUGGAACUCUGACUGAUGGAGUUGGCAGCGUCCACGCCCCGCCUCAUUAAGACCUGGUCCGCGGGCAGCCGGCUCCAGGUCCCUGCCCCGGUGUCACAUUACAGGAUAAUUACGCUCAGAUUAGUUUCUCACACCCUCUGGACAGAGACAUGCUAAUGUGGAUUCUUAGACAUUAAAAUCUUAUAAAGUUCUCUAGUGAUUUUCAGUCCAGUUUCUUAAUUUGGGUGCCCUAAUGGAGAGGAAAAGAUGUGGCUCUCGGCUUCCUACAAAGAGCCGAUUCCUCAAAUGACUUUCAUCAGAAGCUCCUCAGGGGCGGGAUGUCGCAUCUCACACCAGAUUCAGCACCUUAUUUUAAAAUGUCCGUAACCUAAUUACUGACCUUCUUACCACCAGCUCAACAGUCUUCACCUUCACAGCCCCAAACACUCGCGACCCCGGUGGCAACAAGAACCGGAGAUCGAUCAGUCACCUGGGUCAAUCAUUUAUUCUUUCAUCCUCGCCACCAUCAGAAGCAUAAGAGAACCGUCCAAAGGAGCCCUGAAUAACUCACAGGUGUUGUGACACAUCAGGCAUCUCUCUUUGUCCAGAGCCUGUUAACAGCUCAGGCUCCGGGGCUGCAGCGCGAUCUCCAUCAGGAGGCGCUCAACCUCUGUGGACUCCACUUCCUCAUCUGGAAGAUGGGGCUGCGUGGGACUGAAAGGAAAGUGCCUGAGGCACACAGCACCGCGCCUGCCCCAGAGCCUUCCAGCAACGC
This 1245-nucleotide long non-coding RNA is filed under the name Equus caballus (horse). Its description in RNAcentral is "lncRNA (ENSECAG00000056628.1)". Lineage: Eukaryota; Metazoa; Chordata; Mammalia; Perissodactyla; Equidae. The record is from RNAcentral.